RNAcentral lists this long non-coding RNA (476 nucleotides) under Cyanistes caeruleus (blue tit). RNAcentral's name for it is "lncRNA (ENSCCEG00000015223.1)". The record is from RNAcentral. Lineage: Eukaryota; Metazoa; Chordata; Aves; Passeriformes; Paridae.
CUCCCAAAAGGGCCAAGGGACAGGAGCAGGGGCUGCCAUGCCUUGGCUCCCUGAUGACUGGCCAGGACCCUCCCAGGGCUCUGCCCCCAGUGAUCCCACACAACCCCAGCCCUGGGAAGGGCUGCUGCCAUUGGAGAGGAAGCAUUAUUUAGCUGGAGCAUAGACUGGAGCUCUGUACAGCAGGACCUUUUUUUCAAAAGGCACUACAAAGAAAUGUUAUGAAGCAAUAUAUUGCCUGGAUCAAAUGCACCAACACCAGGAUCUACCCUGCUUGUUUCUCUGGGAGAUCACCAGGACAUAUGACAGCAUCCUCAGCGAGCUGCAGACGUUUCUAUUUAAGCUGCUUGGAAGGAUACCUCAGUAGCAGCCCUACUGGGCUCAAGGAGACAGAGGCUGACAGAUUCUUCACUUUCCAGGUUUUAAUUAAAAUCAUAGGUGUUAAGAAGCAAGAGUGUCUUCGUGGAAUACAAGUCUAA